AAUGGAGUUAAAUCCACUUGGAGGCCAGUCACUACUGGUGUCCCCCAGGGCUCCGUACUGGGGCCAGGUUUCUUCAGUAUCUUUAUAAAUUAUCUGGAUGAGUAAUCUGAUC
Cygnus olor (mute swan) is the source of this 112-nucleotide long non-coding RNA. RefSeq lists it as uncharacterized. NCBI's taxonomy places the organism in Eukaryota, Metazoa, Chordata, Aves, Anseriformes, Anatidae. The transcript is spliced from 3 exons. The record is from RefSeq and is a predicted model, not a curated record.